GAGUUUGAUCCUGGCUCAGAAUGAACGCUGGCGGCAGGCCUAACACAUGCAAGUCGAGCGCACCCUUCGGGGCGAGCGGCGGACGGGUUAGUAACGCGUGGGAACAUACCCAAUGAUACGGAAUAGCCUCGGGAAACUGAGAGUAAUACCGUAUGUGCCCUUCGGGGGAAAGAUUUAUCGCCAUUGGAUUGGCCCGCGUUAGAUUAGAUAGUUGGUGGGGUAAUGGCCUACCAAGUCUACGAUCUAUAGCUGGUUUUAGAGGAUGAUCAGCAACACUGGGACUGAGACACGGCCCAGACUCCUACGGGAGGCAGCAGUGGGGAAUCUUAGACAAUGGGCGCAAGCCUGAUCUAGCCAUGCCGCGUGUGUGAUGAAGGCCUUAGGGUCGUAAAGCACUUUCGCCAGAGAUGAUAAUGACAGUAUCUGGUAAAGAAACCCCGGCUAACUCCGUGCCAGCAGCCGCGGUAAUAAGGGCGA
Molecule: ribosomal RNA, 477 nt
Filed under: uncultured Rhodobacterales bacterium
Lineage: Bacteria; Pseudomonadati; Pseudomonadota; Alphaproteobacteria; Rhodobacterales
Description: bacterial SSU rRNA
Rfam family: Bacterial small subunit ribosomal RNA
Source: RNAcentral